CUACGGUGAAUACGUUCCCGGACCUUGUACACACCGCCCGUCAAGCCAUGGAAGCUGGGUGUACCUAAAGUCGAUAACCGAAAGGAGUCGCCUAGGGUAAAACUAGUAACUGGGGCU
Molecule: ribosomal RNA, 117 nt
Filed under: uncultured bacterium
Lineage: Bacteria
Description: partial 16S ribosomal RNA
Rfam family: Bacterial small subunit ribosomal RNA
Source: RNAcentral